ACUAAACAGGAUUCUCUUAGUAACGGCGAGUGAAAAGAGAUUAGCCCAACAUCGAAGUUAGCAUACACUUUGUGUGUUUAACAUUGUGAUGUUAAGAGGCAUGCUUUCAUAGACUGGCCGACUUGAAGUCCAAUUUUGAAUGUGGCAUUAUGUGUUGACCCAAUGAUGGUGAAAGGCCCGUUCACGUUGGUUGUUAGAUGCGACAGUUCUAUGUAUAAGCGUGCCUCUUGGAGUCGGAUUGCUUGAGAGUGCAGUCCAAAUUUGGUGAUAAACUCCACCUAAGGCUAAAUACCUGUACGAGUCCGAUAGCCAACAAGUACCGUGAGGGAAAGUUGAAAAGUACUCUGAAGAGAGAGUAAAUAGUACGUGAAACUACUCGGAGGUUAAUCAGAUGGAGUCAAGCUGCUU
This is a ribosomal RNA of 408 nucleotides. It matches the Rfam family "Eukaryotic large subunit ribosomal RNA", at positions 64 to 439 of the family's 3401-position model.